This 602-nucleotide long non-coding RNA is filed under the name Panax ginseng (ginseng). RNAcentral describes it as "long non-coding RNA (PGIN_LNC018788)". The record is from RNAcentral. Lineage: Eukaryota; Viridiplantae; Streptophyta; Magnoliopsida; Apiales; Araliaceae.
AAAGGAGAUGGAGAGAGAUAGAAAGAGUCCACAGCUCAGAUGAGAAGACAAGGUAAUUAAUUACUCUUUUCCUCCGUAUAAUCCUUCAGCUAUUCUGAUAUGUGGAAUAUAUAUAGAUAUUAAUUCUUUAAUAAUUUUUUAAAUAAAUAAAAAUCAAUGAACAUCAAUUUUCCCAGCGUGAGUUUUCAGUUCCAGAGUCUCCAUUGCUGAGUGAUCCCGUUGUAAUUUUAUAAUUAUUUUGUAUCAUAGAAGCUGCAAAUGCAUGUGUAUGUACUUAGUUAUGUCUAUAAAUGUCCAGAGAUUAACAAAGAAAUGCAUGUUUGUGGAGUGAAAUCCUUUGGUCAUACCCGACUUGCUAAUCAGUGUGAUUUUGCAAAACAAUGCGGAGUUUUUUUUUAUAUAAAAAAAAUUAAUUUAUAUUUUUUAAACUGUAGAUGCUCGUCCAAUGUUCCCAAAGAGACCCACUACUAUUAUGGGCUUUAGGGCUUUAUUGUGUUGUAGGUGGGUUCUUUGUAUUUGUUCAUUGAUCAUAUGUUCAAGGGUUGAGGGAGGAUGCUAUUGUGGAUGAUGAAUUUCAGUGGCAACAAUUGUAAGUCAUAACU